AAAUGGGAUUAUGACAUGUACCUAGUUUCGGAUCAAAGCAUGCUGAUCAAGCUUAUAUUGGGAUACAGUGAAUAGGAGAUAUUUCACCUGUCACCACUUUGUUUACAUCAAAAGAGCUCCCUGGAUCCUCAACAGUAAGGCUGACCUCCCUGUGUGACCUGCCCACCCAACUCCUGGAGCUGUACCAACAGGGCUUCUCUCUGGCAGCCAUGCACCCCUUUGUGCAGCCCACCCAUGGACAGGAGAAGACACCCCUGGAGCAUAUCUUUAGGGCCAUCCUCAUCAAGAAAACCGACAGAUUUCUUACAUGGCUUGACAGCUCGUAAGCCAUCUUGAAGCUGUUUCCACAGAAGAUAGCAAAAGCAUACAGGGCUUCAAUGCUAUUUGGUUGAACAAUGGACAGUCCUGGAACUAAGUGUGGGGUUGGCAGCCCUGCUUUUGUUUAGACAAUUGUUGUAUCCCCCUCCUCAAUCUGACCUUCGGGUUGUUGCUCAGUUGUGGCUUUCUUCUGAGACGGAGUUGACCUGUCUCUUGUACACACAAGGGAGAAGCUAUUUGGACAUUGAAAAGUAAUUUCUUGGGGUGGAGCCAAGAUGGAAGAAUAGCAACAGAUCCAGUCUACAGCUCCCAGCAUGAGUGAUGCAGAAGACGAAUGAUUUCUGCAUUUCCAACUGAGGUUUAUUCCUUCUGCAGAGUGUGGAUUAUGCCCUGGCCAUGUCCUCAUGUUUCCCAACGGCUGGGAGUCAGAAAUUGAGUGACCUGGGAGCACCUUUGUUGUGCCAUCUAUAGCAAAAAGACACUUGGGUGCAAGUGGGAAUCUUGAGUCACUUUGAGGAGCAUUGCACAAAGCCCUAUGUCUUCAGCCAAGUGCACCCUUUCCUUUUCUGGCUCCAGGAAGUGACAUGGCCUAGCCAUGCAUCCUGGCACCACCAAGGGCCCGUGACUGCCUCUGCUUCCAUGUCCCUUUCAGUCUCUACCUCUACAAAUGCCUCAGCUUUUACCUCCACUCCCAAUUCCAUUCGGCCACACUACAUCUCUCUGCCACAGCCUCAGAGAAUCCUGAAGACACUGCUGUGAUUAUUGGCCUGACGCACCCUGUGGUACCACUGAGAGUUGUGAAGUUGUCUACCAUUCUACUGCAUGAGUUGCAGUAGAACCCCUGGCUGGUGAGAGGGGCAGCAAGAAAUGACCUGACAUUGCUACUCCUCCAAGAUGUCCAGACUACCAUUCGGCUCUUAGUACCCUUAGGGAGUCAGUGUGUCCAGGAAGUGACAUUAUCUGCAGACCAAUACUGGCAAUGGCAGUUGGAGACAAAUAGGCUUCACCAGUCUCAAAGCCCUACCUACUACAAUGAGUCCACACUUCUCCUGGAUUUUAUCUACUUCAGCAAAAGAAGGCCACCCACCAAACCAGGCCAUUGUGCUUUGGGUGGAAACUCCUAAGUCCUAUAGUCUCCUUAAACAGCCAACCACACUGCCACUUUCCUCAAUAAUUACUGCAGCCCUGAGACUUUGGUAGCCUAGUAACUAUAACUACUGAUGCUACAGUCUGGUCACAGUAUGAUAAAACACCAGAGCAACAAAAACAAAAAUAUUGACUUAAGCCUUCUAAAAUCUCUCUAAAUAUACCUUCAAUAAAUAUGUUUUUUUCUACAGAACAA
RNAcentral lists this long non-coding RNA (1660 nucleotides) under Homo sapiens (human). RNAcentral describes it as "testis expressed transcript, Y-linked 16". Lineage: Eukaryota; Metazoa; Chordata; Mammalia; Primates; Hominidae. The record is from RNAcentral.